Long non-coding RNA from Athene cunicularia (burrowing owl), 145 nucleotides. RefSeq lists it as uncharacterized. The transcript has 4 exons. The record is from RefSeq and is a predicted model, not a curated record. Lineage: Eukaryota; Metazoa; Chordata; Aves; Strigiformes; Strigidae.
CUGUGUAUGGGUGUCACUUAAGCACUAUAGUGACCCUUUAAUUUAGGAUCAAAUGUACUGCACUGAUCUUCAAAGGAGGACCACUAAUCGCUGGCUCUAUGGUGUAAGCCUGACACUUUGUAUAAACCAUGGAGGCCUUGCUAAC